RNAcentral lists this ribosomal RNA (253 nucleotides) under uncultured bacterium. Its description in RNAcentral is "partial 16S ribosomal RNA". It matches the Rfam family "Bacterial small subunit ribosomal RNA", at positions 524 to 776 of the family's 1533-position model. The record is from RNAcentral.
UACGGAGGGUGCAAGCGUUAUCCGGAUUCACUGGGUUUAAAGGGUGCGUAGGCGGGUUGGGAAGUCCGUGGUGAAAUCUCCGAGCUUAACUCGGAAACUGCCGUGGAUACUAUCAAUCUUGAAUAUCGUGGAGGUAAGCGGAAUAUGUCAUGUAGCGGUGAAAUGCUUAGAUAUGACAUAGAACACCAAUUGCGUAGGCAGCUUACUACACGAUCAUUGACGCUGAGGCACGAAAGCGUGGGGAGCAAACAGA